This 301-nucleotide ribosomal RNA is filed under the name uncultured bacterium. RNAcentral describes it as "partial 16S ribosomal RNA". It matches the Rfam family "Bacterial small subunit ribosomal RNA", at positions 509 to 807 of the family's 1533-position model. The record is from RNAcentral.
CAGCAGCCACGGUAAUACGAAGGGUGCAAGCGUUAAUCGGAAUUACUGGGCGCAAAGCGUGCGUAGGCGGUGAGUUAAGUCUGCUGUGAAAUCCCCGGGCUCAACCUGGGAAUGGCAAUGGAUACUGGCAAGCUAGAGUGUGUCAGAGGAUGGUGGAAUUCCCGGUGUAGCGGUGAAAUGUGUAGAGAUCGGGAGGAACAUCAGUGGCGAAGGCGGCCAUCUGGGACAACACUGACGCUGAGGCACGAAAGCGUGGGGAGCAAACAGGAUUAGAUACCCGGGUAGUCCCUGUCUCUUAUAC